GGGCGGGUCCUGUGCGACGGGACGCUAUGAACCAUGUCAGGCGGGGAACCGAGCAGCAUUAAGUAGUUUUUCCUGUGCGCGCAGUAAAUCGGUUCAUU
RNAcentral lists this signal recognition particle RNA (98 nucleotides) under Clostridia bacterium. Its description in RNAcentral is "signal recognition particle sRNA small type". It matches the Rfam family "Bacterial small signal recognition particle RNA". Rfam says of the family: The signal recognition particle (SRP) is a universally conserved ribonucleoprotein involved in the co-translational targeting of proteins to membranes. Archaeal SRP consists of a 7S RNA and homologues of the eukaryotic SRP19 and SRP54 proteins. Lineage: Bacteria; Bacillati; Bacillota; Clostridia. The record is from RNAcentral.